Molecule: long non-coding RNA, 546 nt
Filed under: Eutrema salsugineum
Lineage: Eukaryota; Viridiplantae; Streptophyta; Magnoliopsida; Brassicales; Brassicaceae
Description: long non-coding RNA (ESAL_LNC000662)
Source: RNAcentral
UGGGAUAGGAAUAGGAAUGGGUGUUGGGGUUGGUGGAGGCUCUGGUCAUGGUUCUGGAAGUAGAAGCGGUGGUGGUGGUGGCGAUGGCGCUCACCGUUAAUCAAAAGCACUUAUUAGUGGCGCCUAACGGUCCAUCUAUUUGUCAUUCUAUAUCUCUCUCUUCUUGCUUUGCAUUAAAAAAAAAAUUGUACGAUACAUCAUCAUAAUUUUCAUUGCAAGAUGUGUUUUCUUCUAUAUUUGUGUAAGAAUGUUUUCCGAUUCCGAAGAUCCAGUAAGAAAAUAUUGAACGCGGAUUAGUCUUUAAUCCUUUGAUUGACUUUAACCAAUUUUCUAAACGGCACACACAUAUCCAGCAGUUUUCCACAAUUUAUUUUUGAGGUCCUACCGUCAGAUAUUACUCUACCAAACCAACAGAGUAAAAGGAGUUUUUAGAUUUAUAGCUUAUAUAUAUAUAUAUAUUAUUGGCUAUACACCUUCAUUCAUUUUCAAGUUUUUGCUGCAGAAAAUCCGAUUUUGAUAGCGAUCAACAUGUCUAAUGUUCAACAA